CGGCGGACGCCCGGAGUCCCGCCUGCCUGCGGGCAGCGAGGCUGUGCGCCGGGGAGGCCGCCGAGGGAGCGCUCCACCCGCCGCGCCGCUCCGCCGCCUCCCGUCACCGCCGGGAGGAGGAAGGGCGUGUGUGGGGUAGGGGUACGGCAUUACAGAACCCUGUGCAGCCAAGUGGUCAGUGAUGUCCAAAGGCUGAAUUUGCCAGUCCAUUUCAGCUGCUUUGUGGUGGUUGGGGAGCAAGCAUGAAUGGAGAUUGCCUUGAUAUAUUGUUAGAGCACUUCCCCUCAGCAUAGAGGGGACUUAAGGGCAAAGCAGCCCAGCCUUCGUUUAAAGGUGGAGCGACCAAGCACCCUGGACACCAAGCAGCAUUCCAUACAGUAUGUUUCAUGUAUCUGAGAGGAAGGAGGGGAAACAUGACACAAAAUAUUUCCAAAAAGAUCUUCGUUCUUACAAAAUAAAAAAAUUACUUCAGCAAAAGCAAGACAUCCUUCUUAUUAGUCCAUCCAGUAGGUCAUUAUUAGCUCCUGUUUGGAGGAGACAAAACACAACAGCUUCUGCUGCUGGAAGACAAAGCGCUAAGAUGAACAACAACAGCUGCUUCUCCCUGUUUGCAUGUAUUACCAGGUCUCAAUUUUCUCUUCAGCAUCCUGUCCAGCUUGUUUUUCCUUUAAUUAUCAUAAACCAAGCUUGUAGUCAAAUCUCUCUUUUAAUCUGAGCAAAACUCACCUUAUUGGGAACCCUUUUGAUUCAGUGGAGACCACAAGGAAUAAGAUCACAGAAGAAAGCUGAUAUAAUAAGAUUUUCCAUUAGCUUUUUUUAACACAACAAACAAAAAGGCUGAAUUUGCCAAUCCAGGUGCCAUUAUGUGACAAUGGAAGAAAAACAGGUUUGGGGAUGUCAUUGGGUUCCACCUGAUCCGCGUUUUAAAUACCAAAGACCAGCAGCCCUUCCUGUGUAGCUGGGGGCUUCCCCCUUUCAAGAAGGAUUGCAAGGUCAUAGUUACAGCCUUUGUACUGUGUGCUCAUUUCCCUGGCUGUUACAUCUGGGACCAUUAUGUCUCCUUCUGUUAGGAAGAAGAGGUAGCAAAACCCUUCAGCAGCUGGAGUCCAGCCCAAGGUCAACGCGUUAAGCACCAGAUAGCUUUCUAAGGAAUAGGAGACAAAAGGUAACUUUUUGUCUUAAUAUUCCAACGUGGCAAUUUUUCAUCUCCCAUUGUUUCUUCGACAGCUUCUCUGCCAUUCUCACUGAAACAAUUUCCAAGCUAUUCCACAUUUAUUUUGUAUAGUAGUGCUUUUUGUCUCACUGCUAGGUCAUCGGGCAAAACACUGAGUCCCUGCAUUAAGCCAUUUUAAGUUGUUGCAGGUCUAGUCAGGGAGUUGUAAGAUCUAAUGUUUAAGUCCACGUAUGAGUCCCAGUGAAAAGCUAGAAUGCUUUUUUGAAUAACGGCAUGCUAAGGUUUCAUGACUUGCAAAGGUCUUGUGGGAUUCACAGAAUAUAAAAUACUGCAGUAACUCACACUGAGAUCAACAGACCAAAGUUCCCCACAAAAUUUUCCAGUCUUCAGGAUUUUGUUUAGCGCUUCAUUGUUUAGCACUUUUUCAGUUAAUGAAUAUUUUUCUUUUCUCUUGAAAUCCUUACAGAAAAUAAGAGCUAUUUUAAAAGAAGAAAGUUUUAACAACAUAAAAUUCAUUAUUUUUUAUUGCAGACCUCAACAACAAAAAUCUCUGAAAAUUGCUACAGACUAUGUAUUAGUAUUCAUAGAGAGUAUUCAUUUUUUCCCAGCAAAACUACCAUUUGAUCUACAGGAGAUACUCCUUUCAAGUCAGCAGCAGUUUGUGUCAACAAGAAUGUUCAUUUUCAGUACUGAUUCAGCCCUAUGGAUGUUGAAGCAUAAAAGUCAGAUGAGCACAUGCACGGCAUAAUUACGAUGCCAAUUUUGAAAAACGAAGUUUUUUUGUCAUGCAGUUAAUAACUACCUUUGUUUUCUUCUUUCAUAUUAAUUCUUUACAUUCCUGAAUAAACAUAGAUAAUGUAAAUAUACAUGGCAAAAUAGCAUCUUAAAAUAGGGGUGUGAAGGGCCAAGCAAUUAGUCAUAGUUGCUAAAAAAAGGUAACACAGGCAGAAUUCAGCAGAUUAAACCCCCUCUCUGGAGCAAAUCAGACUUUUAUCAAUUUCAGUAGGGCAGGGAACAUCAGUUGGAGAUUUCUUCAAAAAGGUGUUUAGUGGUGACCUACUUUACCCCAUCCCUUUGGAAGUAGUUGCUUUUCCUUGUUAUACCUGUUUUUUGACCCCUCAGGCUGUCUUCAGCCUGCACGCUAAGUCUGUAGGAGUUAACACUGUGACCAAAAAUGACCAAGCUCGUACAGCAGUUUUCAGCAAUACUUAAUUUGGUCUGUUGUGUUUACUACAGGAGACAUCAAAGGACUGUCUGAAGCUCUUUCAAGAUAUGUCUAUUUUUAUUACUUUGACAUAAUUGAUUACUAGUCCGAUUUGGACCAUCCUAAUUCGAUUGCUCCUCCAGUGCUUGUUCCGGGAUGCAAAUGUACUAAGUAAACCACAGCCUUUGAGGUGUGUUUAACAGAUGAUUUGACCAGUGUACCUAAUACACUAUAAAAGUUGCUAAUCUAGAUAAAAUGUUAUGGAUUAAAAUUAAUUAUUCAAACAGGCUAGCUAACAUAUUUCACAGCAUCCCUAGUCAGACUUCUCAACAUGCUGCAUUGAUUGAUUUGAAGUGUAUGCUUCCAUUCUCCUGGCUUGCUACAUGCUGAGUAUCAUUUUCAUUGUUUGAUUAGAGUUACAGGAAAUUAGUUAGCCUGAGCUAAUCCGGACACUGAUAUCGUACUUUAUACUGACGUAUAACCGCCUCUUAUCUUAGGUUUCCCCACAGAGACCAGCUGGUGUUUCUGCAAGAUCUGGAGCAGGGACCCUCUCUGAGUUAGGAGCCAUAGUACCACUGACUUCCUAAAUGACCUGCAGCAAACUAACUUUCUUGGCCAUUCCCCCUUCUUCUGAGGCAGUCCUGCUGGUGAAUCAUUCAUAUAUUUGUAGCUAAAUAAAUAUUACACUUCA
Molecule: long non-coding RNA, 3069 nt
Organism: Falco peregrinus (peregrine falcon)
Lineage: Eukaryota; Metazoa; Chordata; Aves; Falconiformes; Falconidae
Exons: 3
Source: RefSeq, a predicted model, not a curated record